UUUCCGUACGGAGGGGAGUACUCCCUGACAACUGCGGCGUACCCGUCAAUACGGAUCAGGCCAGAUCCCGGGGCGUCGGCCCACAAGUGGGUGGAAGAGACCUCCGGCAGCGCG
This 114-nucleotide unclassified non-coding RNA is filed under the name Streptomyces acidiscabies. Lineage: Bacteria; Bacillati; Actinomycetota; Actinomycetes; Kitasatosporales; Streptomycetaceae. The record is from RNAcentral.